AUUGAACGCUGGCGGCAUGCCUUACACAUGCAAGUCGAACGGCAGCACGGGAGCUUGCUCCUGGUGGCGAGUGGCGAACGGGUGAGUAAUACAUCGGAACGUACCCAGUAGUGGGGGAUAACGCACCGAAAGGUGCGCUAAUACCGCAUACGACCUACGGGUGAAAGCGGGGGACCGUAAGGCCUCGCGCUAUUGGAGCGGCCGAUGUCUGAUUAGCUAGUUGGCGGGGUAAUAGCCCACCAAGGCGACGAUCAGUAGCUGGUCUGAGAGGACGAUCAGCCACACUGGGACUGAGACACGGCCCAGACUCCUACGGGAGGCAGCAGUGGGGAAUUUUGGACAAUGGGGGCAACCCUGAUCCAGUAAUGCCGCGUGUGCGAAGAAGGCCUUCGGGUUGUAAAGCACUUUUGUCAGGGAAGAAAUCUUUCAGGCUAAUACCCUUGGAAGGAUGACGGUACCUGAAGGAUAAGCACCGGCUAACUACGUGCCAGCCGCCGCAGUAA
Molecule: ribosomal RNA, 503 nt
Filed under: uncultured bacterium
Lineage: Bacteria
Description: partial 16S ribosomal RNA
Rfam family: Bacterial small subunit ribosomal RNA
Source: RNAcentral